GCAGCCCCGGUGGGUGUUCGGGUCCGGGCUGCUCCCCAGUGCCGCGCAUUCGGGGCAGGUUUAAUUAAGAGGCUGACUCUAAAUUCUCACUCUGAAACCCAAGGUGAAACCUUCCUGACAAAAAGAGGAAAAUCAUUCUUCAGACUCUGAAUUGUGGUCCCUCUCCUUCCUUAAUGAAUUGGGAGAUUCAUUCACCCCACAGUCUGAAGGGCAAUACAAAGCAUGGAACAGAAAACACAGACAAGAAUGAUACAGGAACUGGAAGUUCCCUUUGUGGCUUUACAUCAUAAGAUGGCAGAACUGUGAUUACAGG
Long non-coding RNA from Pezoporus occidentalis (night parrot), 313 nucleotides. RefSeq lists it as uncharacterized. Lineage: Eukaryota; Metazoa; Chordata; Aves; Psittaciformes; Psittacidae. The record is from RefSeq and is a predicted model, not a curated record. The transcript is spliced from 3 exons.